AGUACGUGAAUUGUUUUGUCAGGUUAAUUCCGAUAACGUACGAGACCUAAACUUAUUAAUUUGGUGUGGAGUGUAUUUACACUCUUCUAGUAAAAUUUAUUUUACAUACAUCUCAAUAGGACAAUGUGCGUUUUUUAAAAUUUAGUUCAGGGAAGGUAGGCAAUAACAGG
This 170-nucleotide ribosomal RNA is filed under the name uncultured eukaryote. RNAcentral describes it as "partial small subunit ribosomal RNA". It matches the Rfam family "Eukaryotic small subunit ribosomal RNA", at positions 1296 to 1460 of the family's 1831-position model. The record is from RNAcentral.